AGUGAACGCUGGCGGUAGGCCUAACACAUGCAAGUCGAACGGCAGCACAGUAAGCUCUUGCUCUUACGGGUGGCGAGUGGCGGACGGGUGAGGAGUACAUCGCCAUCUACUUUUUCGUGGGGGAUAACGUAGGGCCACUUACACUAAUACAGCAUACGACGUACGGGAGAGAGCAGUAGAUCUUCGCACCUUUCGCGUCUGAUUUAGCUGAUGUCGGAUUAGCUAGUUGGCGGGGUAAAGGCACACCAAGGCGACGAUCCGUAGCUGGUCUGAGAGGAUGAUCAGCCACACUGGAACUGAGACACGGUCCAGACUCCUACGGGAGGCAGCAGUGGGGAAUAUUGGACAAUGGGCGCAAGCCUGAUCCAGCCAUGCCGCGUGGGUGAAGAAGGCCUUCGGGUUGUAAAGCCCUGUUGUUGGGAAAGAAAAGCAGCGGGUUAAUACACCGCUGUUCUGACGGUACCCAAAGAAUAAGCACCGGCUAACUUCGUG
Molecule: ribosomal RNA, 492 nt
Filed under: uncultured bacterium
Lineage: Bacteria
Description: partial 16S ribosomal RNA
Rfam family: Bacterial small subunit ribosomal RNA
Source: RNAcentral